This 494-nucleotide ribosomal RNA is filed under the name uncultured bacterium. Its description in RNAcentral is "partial 16S ribosomal RNA". It matches the Rfam family "Bacterial small subunit ribosomal RNA", at positions 28 to 507 of the family's 1533-position model. The record is from RNAcentral.
GACGAACGCUGGCGGCGUGCUUAACACAUGCAAGUCGAACGGAAAGGCCUGCUUUCCCUUGUGGAUUGCGGGUACUCGAGUGGCGAACGGGUGAGUAACACGUGAGUGAUCUGCCCCCAACUUGUGUAUAAGCCUGGGAAACUGGGUCUAAUUCCCGAUAGGACUGCAGGGUGGUGCCUGUGGUGGAAAACGAUUUUCUAGUGGUUGGGGAUGAGCUCGCGGCCUAUCAGCUUGUUGGUGGGGUAAUGGCCUACCAAGGCGGCGACGGGUAGCCGGCCUGAGAGGGUGGACGGCAACAUUGGGACUGAGAUACGGCCCAGACGCCUACGGGAGGCAGCAGUGGGGAAGAUUGCACAAUGGGCGGAAGCCUGAUGCAGCGACGCCGCGUGGGGGAUGACGGGCUUCGGGUUGUAAACUCCUUUCGACCGCGAGGAAGCCACCUGGUUGGAAGGGUGGUGACGGUAGUGGUAGAAGAAGCACCGGCUAACUACGUG